GGGGUGCAGCUCAGUGGUAGAGCGCUUGUCUAGCAUGCAUGAGGCACUGGGUUCAAUCCUUAGCACCACA
RNAcentral lists this transfer RNA (70 nucleotides) under Marmota monax (woodchuck). Its description in RNAcentral is "tRNA.Ala". It matches the Rfam family "tRNA". Rfam says of the family: Transfer RNA (tRNA) molecules are approximately 80 nucleotides in length. The record is from RNAcentral. Lineage: Eukaryota; Metazoa; Chordata; Mammalia; Rodentia; Sciuridae.